UGGUUAACUCAAUUGAAAUAUUAGGCAUGUGUAUUGCCAAUGCUUACUUGUGUGGUGCAUUUGAGUAACGAUAGAUAGCACUUAGCAUUGACACUGAGUGUGAGAAUGGCAACGGGAACGGGAAGUAAGAAGAAGCCAUCACCUCUCUCUUUGGAGCAAUUCAUCUCAAUUACCGCUCCUCUUCUUGAUUUGGAAAAGGAAGCUGAGAUUUCAAGCUCAAUCGCCACUGGCGCGUCCCGGAAUUUGGAUACUGCUCAAAAGAGGGGUUCCACAAUCCUCAACUUGAAGUGUGUCGAUGUCCAGACAGGGCUUAUGGGGAAGUCUCUGAUCGAGUUCCAGUCAACAAAAGGAGAUGUUCUUCCUGCACACAAGUUUGGUACUCAUGAUGUUGUUGUUUUAAAACUCAACAAGGCUGAUUUAGGUUCUCCUGCUCUUGGACAAGGUGUUGUUUACAGAUUAAAGGACUCAUCAAUAACUGUUGCUUUCGAUGAUAUACCAGAAGAUGGUUUAAACAGUCCCCUAAGACUGGAAAAAGUAGCAAAUGAGGUGACAUAUCGCAGGAUGAAAGACGCAUUGAUACAGUUGAGUAAAGGAGUGCACAAGGGUCCUGCCUCUGAUCUGAUUCCUGUCUUGUUUGGGGAGAGGCCACCAGCAGUGUCCAAGAAGGAUGUAUCCUUCACUCCCUUUAAUAAAAAUCUUGAUCACUCUCAGAAAGAAGCAGUUUCGAAAGCUCUAUCAUCGAAGAACGUGUUCUUGCUGCAUGGACCACCUGGAACAGGAAAAACUACAACAGUUGUAGAAAUUAUAUUACAAGAAGUGAAGCGUGGAUCUAAGAUUCUUGCUUGUGCUGCCUCAAAUAUUGCUGUUGACAACAUUGUUGAGCGGCUAGUUCCACAUAGAGUUAAGCUGGUGAGACUGGGUCAUCCUGCACGUUUAUUGCCUCAAGUACUGGACAGUGCACUGGAUGCUCAGGUACUACGAGGAGAUAAUAGUGGUCUUGCAAACGACAUUCGGAAAGAAAUGAAGGCAUUGAAUGGAAAGCUACUGAAAACCAAAGACAGAAAUACGAGAAAGGACAUACAAAGGGAACUUAGGACUCUAUCCAAAGAAGAACGUAAAAGGCAGCAGCUUGCUGUAACAGAUGUACUUAAAAGUGCAGAUGUAAUAUUAACUACUUUGAUUGGGGCUUUCUCUAAGAAACUAGACAGCACUUCAUUUGAUUUGGUGAUUAUUGAUGAAGCUGCUCAAGCACUUGAGAUAGCAUGCUGGAUACCUCUGCUGAAGGGUUCAAGAUGUGUACUUGCAGGGGACCAUCUUCAACUUCCUCCAACCAUUCAAAGUGUUGAAGCCGAGAAGAAAGGCUUAGGAAGAACGCUCUUUGAACGACUUGCAGAAGUGUAUGGAGAUGAAAUCACAUCGAUGCUUACUGUCCAGUACCGUAUGCAUGAACUUAUCAUGGAUUGGUCUUCUAAAGAGCUUUACAACAGUAAGAUCAAGGCUCAUCCUAGUGUUACUGCACAUAUGUUAUAUGAUCUUGAGGGUGUGAAGCGGACAACUUCAACUGAACCAACCCUCCUUCUCAUAGACACAGCUGGAGAUGGGUAUACUGGUUUCUUCUAUCUAAUCAAGAAUUUAGCAUAUGACCAAACUGAUGUGACAUGGAAGAAAAGAAAGAUGAAGAAGAUAGCACCUUUAAUGAAGGUGAAGCUGAGGUUACUGUGGCUCAUGCAAAGAGACUAGUGCAAAGUGGGGUGAUUCCUUCUGAUAUUGGAAUUAUUACUCCAUAUGCUGCCCAGGUUGUUUUACUCAAGAUGUUGAAAAACAAGGAGGACCGGCUGAAGGAUGUUGAAAUCUCAACAGUUGAUGGUUUCCAGGGAAGGGAGAAGGAAGCCAUUAUUAUAUCAAUGGUUCGAUCAAAUUCAAAAAAAGAGGUUGGCUUUCUGAGUGAUCACCGGCGAAUGAAUGUGGCUGUGACACGGUCCAGAAGGCAAUGCUGUCUUGUCAGUGACACAGAGACAGUCAGUGGUGAUGGAUUUCUAAAGCGAUUGAUUGAGUAUUUUGAGGAGCAUGGUGAAUAUCUGAGUGCAUCUGAGUACCAGAAUGAGUAGGCCAGAUUCACAAGGUUAAGAUUUCUAUUGUUGCACUCGCAUGUGAUCAAUUAGUUGAUUUUGCUAGUAGAUCUGUGAAGGUUUCUAAAAUCUUUCCUGAGCUAUUUGGAAUGGAAAAAAGAUAAUUUUUAUAGAACCAUUUUAUGUAGAAGAAAAAAAUUAUUGGUAUCUAGUAAUGUUAUUACUUUGAUUUUGUUAACAAACAAUAUAACUUUCAGAAUAAGGUGGAGAUGGAUUUGAGUCCCUUCUCUUUA
RNA transcript from Glycine soja, 2362 nucleotides. It is a transcript of the gene named DNA-binding protein SMUBP-2-like, with no coding region annotated. The record is from RefSeq and is a predicted model, not a curated record. Lineage: Eukaryota; Viridiplantae; Streptophyta; Magnoliopsida; Fabales; Fabaceae. The transcript is spliced from 16 exons.